RNAcentral lists this ribosomal RNA (110 nucleotides) under Acanthosepion pharaonis. Lineage: Eukaryota; Metazoa; Mollusca; Cephalopoda; Sepiida; Sepiidae. The record is from RNAcentral.
UGGCCACAUCACCUUGAAACACCAGUUCCUGUAUGAUCACCAAAGUUAAGCAACAUCAAGCCUGGUCAGUACCUAGAUGGGUGACUGCUUGGGAAUACCAGGUUCUGUAA